GCAGAGAGAGGUAGAGGUGAAGUAGAGGCAGAGGUGAAGAGAGGUAGAGGUGGGAUAGAGGUAGAGAGAAAGAGGUGGGGCAGAGAGAGGUAGAGGUGAAGUAGAGGUAGAGGUGGGGUAGAGAGAGGUAGAGGUGAAGUGGAGGUAGAGGUGGGGCAGAGAGAGGUAGAGAUGAAGUAGAGGUAGAGGUGGGGUAGAGAGAGGUAGAGGAGAAGUAGAGGUAGAGGUGAAGUAGAGGUAGAGGUGGGAUAGAGGUAGAGGUAGAGAGAGAGAGGUGGGGCAGAGAGAAGUAGAGGUGAAGUAGAGGUAGAGGUGGGGUAGAGAGAGGUAGAGGUAAAG
Oncorhynchus tshawytscha (Chinook salmon) is the source of this 339-nucleotide long non-coding RNA. The record is from Ensembl. NCBI's taxonomy places the organism in Eukaryota, Metazoa, Chordata, Actinopteri, Salmoniformes, Salmonidae.